GGGAGGCGCCACCGGCGGGGAAUUCCGCACACGCCUGCGCGGGGCCAGCGGCGGCGGGCAGGGCGGGCCCAGGGCCCCGUGACCCGAGGGGCGACAGCGCGCGGCAGGCGGCGAGCUCGGGGACCGCAGAAAAUGAAACUGAAGCCGUGGUCACGUGACAGGAGAUGUAGUAUAUAGCAGGCUGCCGGCGACUCCUGCUCUUGCUUCCGGAUCUGCAGGGCAGUCCCAGCAGGACCCAUGGAGUGUCCUUCGUGCCAGCAUGUCUCCAAGGAGGAAACCCCCAGGUUCUGCAGCCAGUGCGGAGAGAGGCUGCCUCCUGCAGCCCCCAUAGCAGAUUCUGAGAACAAUAACUCCACAAUGGCCUCGGCCUCGGAGGGUGAAAUGGAGUCUGGGCAGGAGCUGAAGGAGGAAGGGGGCCCGUGCUUGUUCCCGGGCUCAGACAGUUGGCAAGAAAACCCCGAGGAGCCCUGUUCCAAAGCCUCCUGGACCGUCCAAGAAGGAGCUACAUCAGAGGUUUUGGUAGAUGCUACUGUAGACCUCAUAUCCGAUGAAUGGGAAGCUGCUAAUGCCACACCCAGCAAGAGAAGGAAGCAGGAUGCAGCCCCGCUUGAGGCCGCCAGCGUGCCUUCUGCAGACUGUGAGCAGAGCAAAAAGAAGAAAAGGAAGAAGAAAAAGAAGGGGAACAAGUCCGCUUCCUCAGAGCUGGCUUCCUUGCCCCUGUCUCCUGCCAGCCCCUGUCACCUGACUUUGCUUUCAAACCCGUGGCCUCAGGACACAGCCCUGCCCCACAGCCAAGCCCAGCAGAGUGGCCCCACUGGCCAGCCGAGCCAGCCCCCGGGCACAGCCACCACGCCACUGGAGGGUGACGGCCUCUCCGCGCCCACCGAGGUUGGCGACAGCCCCCUGCAGGCCCAGGCUUUGGGAGAGGCAGGAGUGGCCACAGGAAGUGAGGCUCAGAGCAGCCCCCAAUCCCAGGACCACACGGAAGGGGAGGACCAGGACGCUUCCAUCCCCUCUGGGGGCAGAGGCCUGUCCCAGGAGGGGACCGGUCCCCCUACCUCUGCUGGUGAAGGCCAUUCUAGGACUGAAGAUGCUGCCCAGGAGCUCCUGUUGCCUGAGUCAAAAGGAGGCAGCUCUGAGCCCAGGACAGAACUGCAGACCACCGAGCAACAGGCAGGGGCCUCAGCCUCUACGGCAGUUGAUGCUGCAGCUGAGCCAGCCAAUGCAGUUAAAGGGGCCGGGAAGGAAAUGAAAGAGAAGACCCAGAGAAUGAAACAGCCGCCAGCAACCACUCCUGCUUCCAAAACACACUGCCAGGAAGCUGAGACCAAGACCAAGGACGAGAUGGCUGCUGCUGAAGAAAAAGUUGGUAAAAAUGAGCGAGGGGAGCCUGAAGACCUCAAGAAGCCAGAGGGGAAGAACAGAAGUGCAGCUGCUGUGAAAAACGAGAAGGAGCAAAAAAACCAGGAAGCAGAUGUCCAGGAAGUGAAGGCAAGCAUGCUGAGCCCGGGCGGAGGAGUCACCGUGUUCUUCCACGCCAUCAUCUCUCUUCAUUUCCCAUUCAUUCCUGACCUCCAUAAAGUCGUCAUCAGAGGAGGAGAAGAAUUUGGGGGGUCAAAAUGGGACAGCAAUGUCUGUGAGCUGCACUACACCAGAGACUUGGGUCAUGACCGCGUUCUUGUUGAAGGCAUUGUCUGCAUUUCCAAGAAGCACCUAGAUAAAUACAUUCCUUACAAGUACGUCAUUUAUAAUGGGGAAUCUUUUGAGUAUGAGUUCAUUUACAAGCACCAGCAGAAGAAGGGCGAGUACGUCAACCGCUGUCUGUUCAUAAAAUCUUCACUUCUGGGCUCAGGAGACUGGCAUCAGUACUAUGACAUAGUUUAUAUGAAGCCUCAUGGGAGACUCCAGAAAGUCAUGAGCCACAUCAUAGACGGGCCGAGGAAGGACCUGGUGAAGGGGAAGCAGAUUGCCGCUGUGCUCAUGCUGGACAGCACCUUCAGCAUCCUGCAGACCUGGGACACCAUGAACCUGAACAGCUUCUUCACCCAGUUCGAGCAGUUUUGCUUUGUCCUGCAACAGCCUAUGAUUUAUGAAGGACAGGCACAGCUGUGGACCGAUUUGCAGUACAGGGAGAAAGAGGUGAAGAGAUACCUGUGGCAACAUCUGAAAAAGCACGUGGUAUCAUUGCUGUACGGAAAAAGCACGGACUCUUUGCCUAUGGACUGCCCAGUGAGGAGUAAACUGAAAAUAGGCCUGAUUGUCCUUUUUGUAGUGGAAAAAAUUGAGCUUUUAUUAGAAGGCAGCCUGGACUGGUUGUGUCACCUCCUAAUCUCAGAUGCCAGCUCACCAGAUGAGUUUCACCAUGACCUAAGCCACAUCCUUGGGAUACCUCAGAGCUGGCGGCUCUACCUGGUGAACCUGUGCCAAAGAUGCAUGGACACAAGGACGUACGCCUGGCUGGGCACCCUGCCUGUCCUGCACUGCUGUAUGGAGCUGGCCCCGCGGCACAAGGAUGCCUGGAGACAGCCUGAGGACACCUGGGCCGCUCUGGAGGGACUCUCCUUCUCACCGUUCCGGGAACAAAUGCUAGAUACGAGCUCCCUACUUCAGUUUAUGAGAGAGAAGCAGCAUUUGCUGAGCAUAGACGAGCCUCUCUUCCGGUCCUGGUUUAGUCUGCUACCUCUGAGUCACCUGGUUAAGUAUAUGGAAAACUUCAUUGAGCACCUGGGUCGUUUUCCUGCUCAUAUCCUGGACUGUUUUUCAGGGAUUUACUACCGGCUUCCGGGACUUGAGCAAGUCUUGAAUAUGCAGGAUGUUCAGGAUGUUCAGAACGUUCAGAACAUUUUAGAAAUGCUGUUGCGACUCCUGGACACUUACCGGGACAAGAUUCCCGAGGAGGCCUUGUCACCAUCCUACCUGACUGUGUGUCUGAAACUGCAUGAAGCCAUCUGCAGCAGCACAAAGCUACUUAAGUUUUACGAGCUGCCAGCCUUAUCUGCCGAGAUUGUCUGCAGAAUGAUUAGACUUCUAUCUCUGGUGGAUUCUGCAGGACAGGGAGAUGAAACUGGAAAUAAUUCAGUCCAAACAGUCGUCCAAGGGACCCUUGCUGCUACGAAAAGGUGGCUCCGAGAAGUUUUUACAAAGAACAUGCUCACAUAUUCAGGUGCCUCAUUCACAUACGUCAAGGAAAUUGAGGUCUGGAGGCGGCUGGUGGAAAUCCAAUUCCCCGCGGAGCAUGGCUGGAAGGAGUCGUUGCUGGGAGACAUGGAAUGGAGGCUCACAAAGGAGGAACCCCUCUCCCAGAUCACUGCCUACUGCAAUAGUUGCUGGGACACCAAAGGCUUAGAGGACAGUGUGGCCAAGACCUUCGAGAAAUGCAUCAUUGAAGCCGUGAGCUCAGCCUGCCAGUCUCAGACCAGUAUCCUUCAGGGGUUCUCUUACUCUGAUUUGCGGAAAUUUGGCAUCGUCUUGUCUGCUGUGAUCACUAAGUCCUGGCCUAGGACCGCGGACAACUUCGAUGACAUUUUAAAGCAUCUGCUCACGUUGGCAGAUGUCAAGCACGUCUUCAGAUUGUGUGGAACCGACGAGAAAAUACUAGCAAAUGUCACAGAGGAUGCCAAGAGGCUGAUAGCUGUUGCCGACUCUGUGUUGACGAAAGUUGUUGGUGACCUCCUAAAUGGCACGAUUUUAGUUGGACAACUGGAGCUGAUUAUAAAGCACAAGAAUCAGUUUCUUGACAUCUGGCAACUGAGGGAAAAAAGUCUUUCACCCCAGGAUGAAAAAUGUGCUGUGGAGGAAGCACUGUAUUGGAGAAGGGAGGAACUGUUAUUUCUAAAGAAAGAGAAAAGAUGUGUUGAUAGUCUCCUGAAGAUGUGUGCGAACGUGAAACAUCUGAUACAAGUGGACUUUGGAGUGCUUGCAGUAAGACACUCACAAGACCUCAGCAGUAAAAGAUUAAAUGACGCCGUGACAGUGAGACUGUCCACCUCCUCGAACUCGCAGAGGACAACGCAUUACCACCUGAGCUCCCAGGUCCAAGAAAUGGCUGGGAAGAUAGACUUGCUCAGAGACAGCCACAUCUUCCAGAUCUUCUGGCGGGAAGCCGCAGAGCCGCUGAGUGAGCCUAAGGAGGACCAGGAAGCCGCAGAGUUGCUGAGUGAGCCCGAAGAAGAAUCAGAAAGGCACAUCCUUGAGCUUGAAGAGGUGUAUGACUAUUUGUAUCAGCCUUCUUACAGAAAGUUCAUUAAGUUGCACCAGGAUCUAAAGUCAGGAGAGGUCACCCUUGCAGAGAUUGAUGUCAUCUUCAAGGACUUUGUGAAUAAAUACACGGACCUGGAUUCAGAACUUAAGAUCAUGUGCACUGUGGACCACCAGGGCCAAAGAGAUUGGAUCAAGGACCGAGUCGAACAGAUCGAGGAAUACCAUCACCUGCACCAGGCUGUCCACGCAGCCAAGGUCAUCUUGCAGGUCAAAGAGAGCCUGGGACUGACCGGUGACUUCAGUGUUCUCAACACUUUACUAAAUUUUACUGAUAACUUCGACGACUUUCGCCAUGAAACACUGGACCAGAUCAACCAGGAGCUCAUCCAGGCCAAAAAGCUGCUCCAGGACAUCAGUGAGGCCCGGUGCAAGGGGCUGCAGGCUCUGUCCCUGAGAAAGGAGUUCAUCUGCUGGGUCCGGGAGGCUCUUGGAGGCAUCAAUGAGCUGAAGGUGUUUGUGGACCUGGCCUCCAUCUCAGCGGGGGAGAAUGACAUUGACGUAGGCCGGGUGGCCUGCUUCCAUGACGCUGUGCAGGGCUACGCAUCCCUGCUAUUUAAGCUGGACCCCAGCGUGGACUUCAGUGCAUUCAUGAAGCAUCUGAAAAAGCUGUGGAAGGCUCUGGAUAAGGACCAGUACCUGCCCAGGAAACUGUGUGACUCCGCCAGGAACUUGGAAUGGCUGAAGACUGUGAAUGAGAGUCAUGGGUCUGUGGAACGCUCAUCCCUGACCCUGGCCACGGCCAUCAACCAAAGAGGCAUCUAUGUGAUCCAGGCACCCAAAGGUGGCCAAAAGAUUUCCCCAGACACGGUUCUGCACUUGAUCCUUCCUGAGAGCCCUGGCAGCCACGAGGAGUCGCGAGAGUACUCUUUAGAGGAGGUGAAGGAGCUUUUGAACAAGUUGAUGCUGAUGUCUGGCAAGAAGGAUCGUAACAACACGGAAGUGGAGAGGUUUUCAGAGGUCUUCUGCAGUGUGCAGAGGCUCAGCCAGGCCUUCAUCGACCUGCACUCUGCUGGGAAUAUGCUGUUCAGGACGUGGAUCGCCAUGGCCUACUGCUCCCCCAAGCAGGGUGUGUCCCUGCAAAUGGACUUUGGCUUGGACCUGGUGACGGAGCUUAAAGAAGGUGGAGAUGUCACUGAGCUGCUGGCAGCCCUCUGCAGGCAGAUGGAGCACUUCCUUGACAGCUGGAAGAGAUUCGUGACCGAGAAGCGAAUGGAGCACUUUUACCUGAACUUCUACACGGCAGAGCAGCUGGUUUACCUGAGCACUGAGCUCAGGAAGCAGCCCCCGAGUGAUGCCGCCCUAACGAUGCUAUCCUUCAUCAAAAGCAACUGCACCCUGAGGGAUGUCUUAAGGGCCUCUGUGGGGUGUGGGAGUGAGGUCGCCAGGUACCACAUGAGGAGAGUCAUGGAAGAGCUCCCGCUGAUGCUCUUAUCAGAGUUCAGCCUGGUGGACAAGCUGAGGAUCAUCAUGGAGCAGUCCAUGAGGUGCCUUCCUGCCUUCCUGCCCGACUGCCUCGACCUAGAGACCCUUGGCCACUGUCUGGCUUACCUGGCAGGGAUGGGUGGGUCUCCCGUGGAGCGUCGUCUCCCGAGAGGUCUGCAGGUCGGCCAGCCCAACCUCGUCGUCUGUGGCCACUCCGAGGUGUUGCCAGCCGCCCUGGCUGUCUACAUGCAAACCCCAAGCCAGCCCCUGCCCACUUACGAUGAGGUGCUGCUCUGCACCCCGGCAACCACCUUUGAGGAGGUGGCACUGUUGCUGCGCCGCUGCCUGACCCUGGGCUCCCUGGGGCACAAGGUCUACAGCCUGCUGUUCGCAGAUCAGCUGAGCUACGAGGUGGCACGUCAAGCGGAGGAGCUUUUCCACAAUCUGUGCACGCAGCAGCACCGAGAAGACUACCAGCUCGUCAUGGUCUGUGAUGGGGACUGGGAGCACUGCUACCUCCCCUCUGCCUUCAGCCAGCACAAGGUCUUCGUCACCCCCCAGGCACCCCUCGAGGCCAUCCAAGCCUACCUGGCAGGUCACUACCGGGUCCCAGAGCAGACCCUGUCGGCGGCGGCCGUGUUCAAUGACCGGCUGUGUGUUGGGAUCGUGGCCUCGGAGCGAGCAGGUGUUGGAAAGUCUCUGUACGUGAAGAGGUUGCAUGACAAAAUGAAGAUGCAGUUAAACGUGAAAAAUGUGCCUCUGAAAACAAUUCGACUGAUCGACCCUCAGGUGGAUGAGAGCCGAGUCCUGGGCGCCCUGCUGCCCUUCCUGGAUGCGCAGUAUCAGAAGGUCCCCGUGCUCUUUCACCUGGAUGUGACCUCCUCAGUGCAGACUGGAAUUUGGGUGUUUCUUUUCAAGCUCCUCAUUUUACAAUACUUAAUGGAUAUAAAUGGGAAAAUGUGGCUUCGGAACCCCUGCCAUUUGUAUAUCGUUGAAAUCCUGGAAAGGAGGACAUCAGUGCCGUCGAGGAGCUCUUCAGCGCUGCGUACACGUGUCCCCCGGUUCAGUUUUCUUGACAUCUUCCCAAAAGUCACCUGCAGGCCUCCCAAAGAGGUGAUAGACAUGGAGCUGAGUGCCCUGAGGAGUGACACAGAGCCUGGGAUGGAUCUGCGGGAGUUCUGCAGCGAAACUUUCCAAAGACCUUACCAGUAUUUAAGACGAUUCAAUCAAAACCAAGACCUAGACACGUUUCAGUAUCAAGAAGGCUCUGUCGAAGGCACCCCGGAGGAAUGCCUCCAGCAUUUCCUGUUUCACUGCGGGGUAAUAAACCCAUCCUGGUCAGAGCUUCGGAACUUUGCUCGGUUCCUGAAUUAUCAGCUCAGAGAUUGUGAGGCCUCUCUCUUCUGCAAUCCGAGUUUUAUUGGCGACACACUGAGGGGCUUCAAGAAGUUCGUGGUGACCUUCAUGAUCUUUAUGGCAAGAGAUUUUGCCACACCAUCACUCCACACCUCUGACCAAAGCCCAGGGAAGCACAUGGUCACCAUGGAUGGGGUUAGGGAAGAAGAUCUAGCGCCCUUCUCCCUCCGGAAGAGGUGGGAGUCGGAGCCUCACCCAUACGUUUUCUUCAAUGAUGACCACACAACCAUGACAUUCAUCGGCUUCCAUCUGCAGCCCAACAUCAACGGCAGUGUCGAUGCCAUCAAUCACUUGACUAGGAAGGUCAUCAAGAGAGACGUCAUGACCAGGGACCUGUACCAGGGCCUGCUGCUCCAGAGGGUGCCCUUCAAUGUUGACUUUGAUAAACUGCCCAGACACAAGAAACUUGAGAGGCUCUGCCUGACCUUAGGGAUCCCCCAGGCCACCGACCCCGACAAAACGUAUGAGCUCACAACCGACAAUAUGCUUAAAAUCCUUGCCAUCGAGAUGCGGUUCCGGUGUGGGAUCCCGGUUAUCAUCAUGGGAGAAACUGGCUGUGGGAAAACCAGGCUUAUUAAAUUCCUUAGCGACCUGCGGCGUGGUGGUACCAAUGCUGACACCAUAAAGCUGGUCAAGGUGCACGGAGGAACAACUGCAGACAUGAUCUACUCCAGAGUCAGGGAGGCUGAAAAUGUGGCCUUCGCCAAUAAGGACCAACAUCAGUUGGACACCAUCUUGUUUUUUGAUGAAGCCAACACAACGGAAGCUAUAAGCUGUAUCAAAGAAGUCCUGUGUGAUCAUAUGGUGGACGGCCAGCCUCUGGCUGAGGACUCUGGCCUACAUAUUAUAGCUGCCUGCAAUCCAUACCGGAAGCACUCUGAGGAGAUGAUCUGCCGUUUGGAGUCAGCUGGUUUGGGCUACAGGGUUAGUAUGGAGGAGACGGCCGACAGGCUGGGCUCCAUUCCUCUGAGGCAGCUGGUAUACCGGGUCCAUGCUCUGCCCCCGAGCCUGAUUCCUCUGGUGUGGGACUUUGGACAACUGAGUGACGUUGCUGAAAAGCUCUACAUCCGGCAGAUUGUCCAGAGACUGGUUGAUUCCAUCAGCCUAGAUGAAAACGGGACUCACGUGAUCACAGAAGUCCUCUGCGCCUCUCAGGGUUUCAUGAGGAAAACAGAAGAUGAGUGCAGCUUUGUCAGCCUCAGGGACGUGGAGCGCUGUGUGAAAGUUUUCAGGUGGUUCCACGAGCACAGCGCGAUGCUCUUAGCGCAGCUGAAUGCCUUUCUCUCCAAGUCCAGCGUCAGCAAAAAUCACACCGAGAGAGAUCCCGUCCUCUGGUCGUUGAUGCUGGCCAUCGGGGUGUGUUACCACGCCUCUUUAGAAAAGAAAGACUCAUAUCGGAAAGCCAUCGCCAGGUUCUUUCCGAAACCGUAUAACGACAGCAGGCUGCUUCUGGAUGAAAUAACACAGGCACAGGAUCUUUUUCUGGACGGCGUACCUCUGAGGAAAACCAUCGCCAAGAACUUGGCCUUGAAGGAGAACUUCUUCAUGAUGGUCAUCUGCAUCGAGCUGAAGAUUCCCCUCUUCCUGGUGGGGAAGCCCGGCAGCUCCAAGUCUCUCGCCAAGACCAUCGUGGCAGACGCCAUGCAGGGCCCGGCCGCCUACUCAGAUCUCUUCCGCAGCCUGAAGCAGGUCCACCUGGUGUCCUUCCAGUGCAGCCCGCACUCCACCCCACAGGGCAUCAUCAGCACCUUCCGGCAGUGCGCCCGCUUUCAGCAGGGGAAGGACCUGCAGCAGUACGUCUCUGUGGUGGUGUUAGAUGAGGUGGGGCUGGCGGAAGACUCACCCAAAAUGCCCCUGAAGACUCUGCACCCGCUGCUGGAAGACGGAUGCAUUGAAGACGAUCCCGCCCCCCACAAAAAGGUCGGCUUCGUGGGCAUCUCCAACUGGGCCCUUGACCCUGCCAAGAUGAACCGGGGCAUUUUUGUGUCACGUAGCAGCCCCAACGAGACAGAGCUCAUAGAGAGCGCCAAGGGCAUCUGCUCCUCAGACAUCCUCGUCCAGGACCGAGUCCAAGGGUACUUUGCGUCCUUUGCCAAAGCCUACGAAACGGUGUGUAAGCGCCAGGACAAGGAAUUCUUCGGGCUUCGUGACUACUACAGCCUCAUCAAAAUGGUCUUUGCUGCAGCAAAGGCUUCAAAUAGAAAGCCUUCCCCGCAAGACAUUGCACAGGCUGUCCUUAGGAACUUCAGUGGCAAGGAUGACAUCCAAGCUUUGGACAUCUUUCUGGCCAAUUUGCCCGAGGCCAAGUGCUCAGAGGAAGUCAGCCCCAUGCAGCUGAUCAAACAGAACAUCUUUGGGCCUUCUCAGAAAGUGCCGGGUGGAGAGCAGGAAGAUGCUGAGUCCCGCUACUUACUCGUGCUGACCAAAAACUACGUGGCACUGCAGAUCCUGCAGCAGACAUUCUUCGAGGGGGACCAGCAGCCGGAGAUUAUUUUUGGUUCUGGUUUCCCCAAGGACCAAGAGUACACCCAGCUCUGCAGAAACAUCAAUCGUGUGAAGAUCUGCAUGGAAACAGGCAAGAUGGUGUUGCUUCUCAACCUGCAGAACCUCUACGAGAGCCUCUACGACGCACUCAACCAGUACUACGUCCACCUCGGCGGCCAGAAGUACGUGGACCUCGGUCUGGGGACCCACCGCGUCAAAUGUCGGGUUCACCCCAACUUCCGCCUGAUUGUCAUUGAGGAGAAAGACGUCGUGUACAAACACUUUCCCAUCCCCCUCAUUAACCGGCUGGAGAAGCACUAUCUGGAUAUCAACACGGUGCUGGAGAAAUGGCAGAAGAGCAUCGUGGAGGAGCUCCGUGCGUGGGUGGAGAAGUUCAUCAAUGUCAAAGCAGAUCAUUUCCAGAAGAGGCACAAAUACAGCCCCUCUGACGUCUUCAUCGGCUACCACUCGGACGCCUGCGCGUCUGUGGUGCUGCAGGUCAUAGAGAGGCAGGGUCCCCGGGCCUUGACGGAGGAACUUCACCAGAAGGUGUCUGGGGAGGCCAAAUUGAUCCUGCUAAACUGCGCUACGCCCGACGCCGUGGUCCGGCUGAGCGCCUACUCGCUGGGCGGGUUCGAGGCGGAGUCGCUGUCGCAGGAGUACUUUUACAGACAGAGGCACAACUCCUUUGCAGAUUUCCUUCAGGCACACCUGCACACGGCAGACCUGGGGCGCCACGCCAUCUUCACAGAGAUCACCACUUUCUCCAGGCUGCUAACAAGUCACGACUGUGAAAUUUUAGAAUCAGAGGUCACAGGCAGGGCUCCGAAACCCACACUCCUGUGGCUGCAGCAGUUUGACACCGAGUACUCAUUCCUCAAAGAAGUCCGAAACUGUUUAACGAAUACAGCCAAAUGUAAAAUCCUCAUUUUUCAGACAGAUUUUGAAGAUGGAAUCCGUAGUGCCCAGCUCAUUGCCUCAGCUAAGUAUUCUGUUAUAAAUGAAAUCAACAAAAUACGAGAAAAUGAGGACCGUAUCUUCGUCUAUUUCAUCACAAAACUGUCCCGGGUGGGAAGAGGAACAGCCUAUGUGGGCUUCCACGGAGGGCUGUGGCAGUCUGUCCACAUCGAUGACCUCCGGAGAUCCACCCUCAUGGUUUCUGAUGUGACCAGGCUGCAGCAUGUCACCAUCAGCCAGCUGUUCGCGCCCGGAGACUUGCCUGAGCUGGGCUUGGAACACUGGGCAGAAGACGGCCAUGAGGAGGCGAUGGAAACGGAGGCCAGCACAUCAGGGGAGGUGGCAGAGGUGGCAGAGGAGGCCAUGGAAACAGAAAGUUCUGAGAAGGGGGGAAAGGAAACCUCUGAACUCGGAGGCAGUGAUGUGUCGAUCCUGGACACCACCAGGCUGCUGAGAAGCUGUGUGCAGAGCGCCGUGGGCAUGCUCAGAGACCAGAACGAGAGCUGCACGCGCAAUAUGCGGAGGGUGGUGCUCCUCCUGGGCCUCUUGAAUGAGGAUGACGCGUGCCACGCCUCUUUCUUGCGGGUAUCCAAGAGGCGCCUCAAUGUCCUUUUAAAGAAGCAAGAAGAGAGCCAGUUUCACCCUCUGGAGUGGUUGGCAAGGGAAGCCUGCAACCAGGACGCUCUCCAGGAGGCGGGCACAUUCAGGCACACCCUCUGGAAGCGGGUCCAAGGUGCUGUCACCCCUCUGCUGGCGAGCAUGAUAUCAUUCAUCGACACAGACGGCAACCUAGAGUUACUGACCAGGCCAGAUACUCCGCCCUGGGCAAGAGAUCUUUGGAUGUUUAUUUUCAGUGACACGAUGCUUCUGAACAUUCCUCUUGUGAUGAAUAAUGAAAGACAUAAAGGUGAGAUGGCCUACAUCGUGGUGCAGAACUACAUGAACCUUUCCGAGAACGCUUCCAACAAUGUCCCUUUCAGCUGGAGAAUCAAGGACUAUCUGGAGGAGCUGUGGGCCCAGGCUCAGUACAUCACGGACGCAGAAGGACUGCCCAAGAAGUUUGUGGACAUCUUUCAGCAGACUUCUCUGGGCAGGUUUCUUGCCCAGCUCCAUGGAGAGCCGCAGCAGGAACUUCUUCAGUGUUACUUGAAGGAUUUCAUUCUCUUGACCAUGCGUGUGUCAACGGAGGAGGAAUUAAAGUUUCUGCAGAUGGCUCUGUGGUCCUGCACUAGGAAACUGAAAGCAGCGUCAGAAGCGCCCGAGGAAGAGGUUUCCUUACCGUGGGUGCACCUUGCCUACCAGCGUUUCAGAAGCCAUCUGCAGAACUUUUCCAGAAUCCUGACCAUCUACCCUCAGGUUCUCCACAGCCUGAUGGAAGCCCGUUGGAACCAUGAGCUGGCUGGAUGUGAGAUGACCCUGGACGCGUUUGCCGCAAUGGCCUGCACGGAGAUGCUGACAAGAAACACCCUGAAGCCCAGUCCCCAGGCGUGGCUACAGUUGGUGAAGAAUCUUUCCAUGCCGCUGGAGCUCAUCUGCUCCGAUGAGCACGUGCAAGGCAGCGGGAGCCUGGCCCAGGCUGUCAUCAGGGAAGUCAGAGCCCAGUGGAGUCGGAUUUUCUCCACCGCACUCUUUGUGGAGCACGUGCUCCUAGGAACCGAGAGCCAUGUCCCCGAGUUACAGGGGCUGGUGACCGAGCACGUCUUCUUACUAGACAAGUGUCUUCGAGAGAACUCUGACGUGAAGACGCACGGGCCUUUUGAGGCCGUGAUGCGCACUCUCUGUGAAUGCAAGGAGAUAGCCAGCAAGACCCUCAGCAGGUUUGGGGUUCGGCCGUGCCCCAUCUGCCUGGGAGAUGCAAAGGACCCCGUCUGUCUGCCCUGCGACCACGUGCACUGCCUGCGCUGCCUCAGGGCCUGGUUUGCCUCAGAGCAGAUGAUAUGCCCCUACUGUUUAACUGCCUUGCCAGACGAAUUCUCUCCAGCUGUUUCCCAAGCGCACAGGGAAGCCAUUGAAAAGCAUGCCCGCUUCCGGCAGAUGUGCAACAGUUUCUUCGUAGACCUGGUGUCCACCAUUUGCUUCAAGGACAACGCUCCGCCUGAGAAGGAAGUGAUUGAGAGCCUGCUCUCUCUCCUCUUCGUCCAAAAGGAGCGCUUAAGAGAUGCUCCCCAGAGACACCGUGAACACACAAAAUCUCUCUCUCCAUUCAAUGAUGUUGUGGAUAAGACUCCUGUCAUCCGCUCAGUGAUACUGAAACUGCUUUUGAAGUACAGCUUUCAUGAUGUAAAAGAUUAUAUUCAGGAAUAUUUGACCCUGUUAAGAAAGAAAGCAUUCAUAAUUGAAGAUAAAACUGAACUGUACAUGCUCUUCAUCAACUGCCUGGAGGAUUCAAUACUUGAGAAGACCAGUGCUUACUCCAGAAAUGAUGAACUGAACCACCUAGAAGAGGAAGGUCGUUUCCUUAAGGCGUAUUCUCCAGCAAGCCGUGGCCGAGAGCCUGCCAACGAGGCCUCGGUUGAAUACCUGCAAGAGGUGGCCCGGAUCCGCCUCUGCCUCGACAGAGCUGCAGAUUUCCUCUCGGAGCCUGAGGGAGGCCCAGAGAUGGCCAAGGAGAAGCAGUGCUACCUGCAGCAAGUCAAGCAGUUCUGUAUCCGGGUGGAGAACGACUGGCACCGGGUGUACCUGGUGCGGAAGCUCAGCAGCCAGCAGGGGAUGGAGUUCGUGCAGGGCCUCUCCAAGCCCGGCCGCCCGCACCAGUGGGUGUUUCCCAAGGACGUUGUCAAGCAGCAGGGGCUGCAGCAGGACCACCCAGGCCAGAUGGAUAGGUACCUGGUGUACGGCGAUGAAUACAAGGCUCUCCGUGAUGCUGUGGCCAAAGCUGUCCUCGAGUGCAAGCCACUGGGCAUUAAGACUGCUCUGAAGGCCUGCAAGACCCCCCAAAGCCAGCAGUCAGCCUACUUCCUGUUAACACUGUUUAGAGAGGUGGCUAUUUUGUACAGAUCCCACAAUGCAAGCCUCCACCCCACACCAGAGCAACGUGAAGCUGUGAGCAAAUUCAUUGGCGAAUGCAAGAUCCUUUCACCUCCUGAUAUCAGCCGUUUUGCAACAUCGCUCGUGGACAAUUCUCUGCCACUGUUGAGGGCGGGGCCCAGUGACAGCAACCUUGACGGAACGGUGACAGAAAUGGCCAUUCAUGCUGCAGCCGUCCUUCUGUGUGGACAGAAUGAACUCCUGGGGCCCCUAAAGAAUCUGGCCUUCUCCCCAGCCACCAUGGCGCAUGCUUUUCUUCCAACCAUGCCUGAAGACUUGCUGGCUCAAGCUCGGAGGUGGAAGGGUCUGGAGAGAGUCCACUGGUACACUUGUCCCAACGGCCAUCCUUGCUCCGUGGGAGAGUGUGGCAGGCCGAUGGAACAGAGCAUCUGCAUUGACUGCCAUGCGCCGAUUGGAGGCAUUGACCACAAACCUCGGGACGGCUUUCAUCUGGUCAAAGACAAGGCAGACAGAACGCAGACCGGCCAUGUGCUGGGCAACCCGCAGCGGAGAGACGUGGUGACAUGUGACCGAGGGCUGCCCCCAGUGGUCUUCCUCCUUAUCCGGCUACUCACUCACUUGGCUCUGCUUCUGGGAGCUUCCCAGAGUCCCCAGGCUCUGAUAAACAUCAUUAAGCCUCCAGCGAGGGAUCCAAAAGGCUUUCUGCAGCAGCACAUCCUGAAGGACCUGGAGCAGUUGGCCAAGAUGCUGGGACACAGUGCCGACGAGACCAUCGGCGUGGUCCACCUCGUCCUGCGCAGGCUUCUCCAAGAGCAGCACCAGCUCUCUAGCAGAAGGCUUUUAAAUUUUGACACAGAAUUGUCAACUAAAGAAAUGAGGAACAACUGGGAAAAGGAAAUCGCAGCUGUGAUUUCUCCGGAACUGGAGCAUCUAGAUAAAACCCUUCCCAUCAUGAAUAAUCUCAUCAGCCAAGAUAAGCGUAUCAGCUCUAACCCUGUGGCCAAAAUAAUAUAUGGUGACCCAGUGACCUUCCUGCCCCACCUGCCCCGGAAAAGUGUGGUCCAUUGCUCUAAGAUUUGGAGCUGCAGGAAAAGAAUUACAGUUGAGUACCUCCAGCACAUUGUGGAACAGAAAAAUGGCAAAGAAAGAGUGCCCAUCCUCUGGCAUUUCCUGCAGAAGGAUGUAGCAGAAGACUCAGGGCUAGAGAUCUUCAUACAUAUCAAACAGUACAACUGCCAGAAGCGUAAAGUCACAGACAAAAUACACACCCACGUUGGGAUUAGCAGUGACCUGUGGGGAAGCUGGAGGCCAGGAGAGGACCUCCCCUCAUCACUCAGCCAGACAGAAAAGGAUGCAGCUCUUUCCCAGCCGCUCUGUUCCUCUCUGUCCACAAUGCUGGAGCAUGGGCAGAUCAAACAAAACUCCUCCCUGUGCCUAAGCAUCGAGGCGUACGUGGAAGACGGGAGUGAGUGGGUGUGUGCCGGCGGUGCUGGGGUACUGGGGAGCAGUCAAGUGUACUGGCCACAGCUGUUGGAAUUAGAAAUAUACUUUCCUAACUUUCAUCCAUUUGCACUUGUCUAAACAUUUCUCUCCAUGGACUAUUAUUUGCUGUCUAGCAAGGAUGAAGACGAUUUGGAAACUUCUGUUGGUCAGUUGAGGAGUAUGAGUUCACAAUGACAGGAAGGACUUCCUGUCAAUACUGUGGCCUCUCUCUGAGAUGCAGUUUCACUACGUCGAAGAUGCUUAGAUCCUAGGUCUUCGGAAGGACACCCAGGAAUAAGGCCAGCCCUCGCUGCCUAAGCUCUGGGUCUCUUCUUUCAGCAGCUUCUCUCCGUACCCAGCCAGUUACAUGGGCCCAAGGGACAGAUUUCCUUCAUCAGCCUUUGAUGGACGCAGCUGAUGCGUCAGCUCCAUAGAGGCUGGGCUCCCUCUUCGCCGCCCUCCAUUUCUAGCACACUGCACUGUCUGUAGACUUGUGGGAAGAACUUGUGGGAAGAACUUUUCCCGUUUUCAAGCUCCACGCUGCAUCACAGGAAAUGACACUGAUCAGAUUAAGCUACAAAUACAAGUCUCGCAGCCAGUCUCAAAGUCUGUAUCCCCAAUAACAUUUUUUAGGUAAAUAAAAAUUGUUACCGGGUGGUCUUCCCUUCUCCAGGAAGCAGAGCUGAGGCUGGUAAAGUUCCUGCCUGAGAUUUUGGCCUUGCAAAGGGAUCUAGUGAAGCAGUUCCAGAACGUCCAGCAAGUUGAAUACAGCUCCAUCAGAGGCUUCCUCAGCAAGCACAGCUCAGAUGGGUUGAGGCAGCUGCUUCACAACAGGAUCACAGUCUUUCUGUCGACAUGGAACAAACUGAGGAGAUCACUUGAGACGAACGGUGAGAUCAAGCUACCCAAAAACUACUGCAGCACUGACUUGGAUCUGGACACUGAGUUUGAGAUCCUCUUGCCACGCCGACAGGGCCUGGGCCUCUGUGCUACCGCUCUCGUCAGCUACUUGAUUCGCCUACACAAUGAAAUUGUCUACGCCGUGGAAAAACUCUCCGAGGAAAACAACAGCUAUUCCGUGGAUGCCGCCGAGGUCACUGACCUGCAUGUCAUCAGUUAUGAAGUGGAGCGGGACCUGACUCCACUGAUUCUCUCCAACUGCCAGUACCAGGUGGAGGAAGGCAGAGAGACCGUGCAGGAGUUCGAUCUGGAGAAGAUUCAGCGGCAGAUCGUCAGCCGCUUCCUCCAGGGCAAGCCCCAGCUGAGCCUCAAGGGAAUACCCACUCUGGUGUACAGACACGACUGGAACUAUGAACAUCUCUUUAUGGACAUCAAGAACAAAAUGGCACAGGACUCCCUCCCCAGCUCGGUCAUUAGUGCCAUCAGUGGACAGCUGCAGUCCUACAGCGAUGCCUGUGAAGUGCUAUCUGUCGUAGAAGUCACUCUGGGGUUUCUGAGCACAGCUGGUGGGGAUCCAAACAUGCAGCUGAAUGUGUAUACUCAAGACAUCCUGCAAAUGGGUGAUCAGACGAUUCACGUGUUAAAGGCCUUAAACAGAUGCCAGUUAAAACACACCAUUGCCCUCUGGCAGUUCCUGUCUGCUCAUAAGUCUGAACAGCUGCUGCGGCUGCACAAAGAGCCAUUUGGGGAAAUCAGUUCAAGGUACAAAGCGGAUCUGAGCCCGGAAAAUGCUAAGCUCCUCAGCACAUUCCUAAAUCAGAUUGGCCUAGACGCCUUCCUGCUAGAGCUGCACGAAAUGAUAAUCUUGAAACUAAAGAACCCCCAAACCCAAACCGAGGAGCGCUUCCGCCCUCAGUGGAGCCUGAGAGACACUCUCGUAAGUUACAUGCAAACUAAAGAAAGUGAAAUUCUUCCUGAAAUGGCAUCUCAGUUCCCAGAAGAGAUACUGCUCGCCAGCUGUGUCUCAGUGUGGAAAACAGCUGCUGUGCUGAAAUGGAAUCGAGAAAUGAGAUAGAAUUAUUUCCUCAGCUAUCUUUGGAUGCCUUUGGAGAGAAGACUCCUCUCUCCUCGUCUGCGGCGUGGACUUGAUCAUGGACUGGUGCCUUUGCAUUCAGAAGGAGAGCUGUCAGCGUAGCACCAAAUUCAAGACCAAGGCGUGCUACCUGAGCUGACAGCUUUUUGAAAGCCGAGCUGUUUCUGAACCAUGUACAUACAUGUUCUGAAACUUUCUCAUCAUUUUAUGAGUACUGUUCAUUGGGAGAUGACAAUGAAGAUUAGAUGAAAUUGGAAAUAAACCAACAUUGUUUACAUUCCAGGAGACUUGUAGCUCAGCCACACACGCAGUAAUGACCUGUGCCCGUUCGCCUCUGGCACUGCCCACCCCUCUUUUUUUUUCUUCUAAUUCUGUACUCACAAAAGACAAUCUCGUUUCCUUCUUUCUUCCAUUCCCUUAAAUUCUGAGUAUUGUACAUAUAUUUCUGGGUUCCCGCGAUGAUGUGAAAAACUACCACUGUUUUUUGUCUUCUCACAAAGACAAGAAAAAUCAGGGCAUUUUGUGAGUGCCUUAAGAUCAAACUAACAAGAUCUGACCCUCUCCCCUCACAGUGAGCCACUGCCCCACUUCAGAGGGUAAGAGCCAAAAGCCUCAUUGUGAAAGGCACUGGACUUGGACCAGGGACACCAUCAGGGCCUUGGUUUUCUCACGCAUAAAAUGGAGAGUGGAUUAAUCGCCAAAGAUUCUUCUGAUCUAACAUUUUGAAAUUAUAAGAGAAACUAGAUGACUGUAAACUUGGUCACAGGCCUGGUUCUGGCAGUUCUUUGCGGACUUUUUUCUAGCAUUAUGCCAAAUAAACAUGCAGUCUCAGUGUGCUCUCGCA
Molecule: RNA transcript, 17846 nt
Organism: Pan troglodytes (chimpanzee)
Lineage: Eukaryota; Metazoa; Chordata; Mammalia; Primates; Hominidae
Gene: RNF213
Gene name: ring finger protein 213
Exons: 69
Source: RefSeq, a predicted model, not a curated record